GAUGAACGCUGGCGGCGUGCUUAACACAUGCAAGUCGAACGAAGCACUUUAUUUGAUUUCCUUCGGGACUGAUUAUUUUGUGACUGAGUGGCGGACGGGUGAGUAACGCGUGGGUAACCUGCCUUGUACAGGGGGAUAACAGUUGGAAACGGCUGCUAAUACCGCAUAAGCGCACAGCAUCGCAUGAUGCAGUGUGAAAAACUCCGGUGGUAUAAGAUGGACCCGCGUUGGAUUAGCUAGUUGGUGAGGUAACGGCCCACCAAGGCGACGAUCCAUAGCCGAGCUGAGAAGGUGACAGGCCACAUUGGGACUGAGACACGGCCCAAACUCCUACGGGAGGCAGCAGUGGGGAAUAUUGCACAAUGGGCGAAAGCCUGAUGAAGCGACGCCGCGUGAGCGAAGAAGUAUUUCGGUAUGUAAAGCUCUAUCAGCAGGGAAGAUAAUGACGGUACCUGACGAAGAAGCACCGGCUAAAUACGUG
This 481-nucleotide ribosomal RNA is filed under the name uncultured bacterium. RNAcentral describes it as "partial 16S ribosomal RNA". It matches the Rfam family "Bacterial small subunit ribosomal RNA", at positions 28 to 507 of the family's 1533-position model. The record is from RNAcentral.